Molecule: unclassified non-coding RNA, 97 nt
Organism: Cavia porcellus (domestic guinea pig)
Lineage: Eukaryota; Metazoa; Chordata; Mammalia; Rodentia; Caviidae
Rfam family: Y RNA
About the family: Y RNAs are components of the Ro ribonucleoprotein particle (Ro RNP), in association with Ro60 and La proteins. The Y RNAs and Ro60 and La proteins are well conserved, but the function of the Ro RNP is not known.
Source: Ensembl
GGCUGGUCCGAUGGCAGUGAGUUAUCAGAACUUAUUAACAUUAGUGUCACUAAAGUUGGUAUACCACCCCCCCACUGCUAAAUUUGACUGGCUUUAA